GAUGAACGCUGGCGGCGUGCCUAAUACAUGCAAGUCGAGCGAACGGACGAGAAGCUUGCUCCUCUGACGUUAGCGGCGGACGGGUGAGUAACACGUGGAUAACCUACCUAUAAGACUGGGAUAACUUCGGGAAACCGGAGCUAAUACCGGAUGAUAUUUUGAACCGCAUGGUUCAAUAGUGAAAGACGGUUUUGCUGUCACUUAUAGAUGGAUCCGCGCCGCAUUAGCUAGUUGGUAAGGUAACGGCUUACCAAGGCGACGAUGCGUAGCCGACCUGAGAGGGGGAUCCGCCACACUGGAACUGGGACACGGGCCAGACUCCUAAGGGAGGCAGCAGUGGGGAAUAUUACGCAAUGGGCGGAAGCCUGACCGAGGCAACGCGCGUGAGUGAAGAAGGUCUUCGGGUUGGAAAACCCUUUUAUUGGGGAAGAAAAAAAGUUGAAGUAAACAUGGCCGUUCUGAAGGUACCCAAUGAAGAAGCCCCGGCUAACUUCGUG
Molecule: ribosomal RNA, 497 nt
Filed under: uncultured bacterium
Lineage: Bacteria
Description: partial 16S ribosomal RNA
Rfam family: Bacterial small subunit ribosomal RNA
Source: RNAcentral